GGUUAAGCGACUAAGCGUACACGGUGGAUGCCCUGGCAGUCAGAGGCGAUGAAGGACGUGCUAAUCUGCGAAAAGCGCCGGCGAGGUGAUAUGAACCUUUGACCCGGCGAUGUCCGAAUGGGGAAACCCAGUGCAAUUCGUUGCACUAUCGUUAACUGAAUACAUAGGUUAACGAGGCGAACCGGGGGAACUGAAACAUCUAAGUACCCCGAGGAAAAGAAAUCAACCGAGAUUCCCCCAGUAGCGGCGAGCGAACGGGGAGCAGCCCGGAGUCUGAAUCAGCUUGUGUGUUAGUGGAACGGUCUGGAAAGUCCGACGGUACAGGGUGAUAGUCCCGUACACGAAAGCACACAUGCUGUGAACUCGAAGAGUAGGGCGGGACACGUGGUAUCCUGUCUGAAUAUGGGGGGACCAUCCUCCAAGGCUAAAUACUCCUGACUGACCGAUAGUGAACCAGUACCGUGAGGGAAAGGCGAAAAGAACCCCGGCGAGGGGAGUGAAAAAGAACCUGAAACCGUGUACGUACAAGCAGUGGAAGCCUCUUUAUGGGGUGACUGCGUACCUUUUGUAUAAUGGGUCAGCGACUUAUAUUCUGUAGCAAGGUUAACCGUAUAGGGGAGCCGAAGGGAAACCGAGUCUUAACUGGGCGUUAAGUUGCAGGGUAUAGACCCGAAACCCGGUGAUCUAGCCAUGGGCAGGUUGAAGGUUGGGUAACACUAACUGGAGGACCGAACCGACUAAUGUUGAAAAAUUAGCGGAUGACCUGUGGCUGGGGGUGAAAGGCCAAUCAAACCGGGAGAUAGCUGGUUCUCCCCGAAAGCUAUUUAGGUAGCGCCUCGUGAACUCAUCUUCGGGGGUAGAGCACUGUUUCGGCUAGGGGGCCAUCCCGGCUUACCAACCCGAUGCAAACUACGAAUACCGAAGAAUGUUAUCACGGGAGACACACGGCGGGUGCUAACGUCCGUCGUGAAGAGGGAAACAACCCAGACCGCCAGCUAAGGUCCCAAAGUCAUGGUUAAGUGGGAAACGAUGUGGGAAGGCACAGACAGCCAGGAUGUUGGCUUAGAAGCAGCCAUCAUUUAAAGAAAGCGUAAUAGCUCACUGGUCGAGUCGGCCUGCGCGGAAGAUGUAACGGGGCUAAACCAUGCACCGAAGCUGCGGCAGCGAC
Molecule: ribosomal RNA, 1168 nt
Filed under: Enterobacter hormaechei
Lineage: Bacteria; Pseudomonadati; Pseudomonadota; Gammaproteobacteria; Enterobacterales; Enterobacteriaceae
Description: partial 23S ribosomal RNA
Rfam family: Bacterial large subunit ribosomal RNA
Source: RNAcentral